RNAcentral lists this ribosomal RNA (484 nucleotides) under uncultured bacterium. RNAcentral describes it as "partial 16S ribosomal RNA". It matches the Rfam family "Bacterial small subunit ribosomal RNA", at positions 30 to 507 of the family's 1533-position model. The record is from RNAcentral.
AUUGAACGCUGGCGGCAGGCCUAACACAUGCAAGUCGAGCGGAUGAAGGGAGCUUGCUCCUGGAUUCAGCGGCGGACGGGUGAGUAAUGCCUAGGAAUCUGCCUGGUAGUGGGGGAUAACGUCCGGAAACGGGCGCUAAUACCGCAUACGUCCUGAGGGAGAAAGUGGGGGAUCUUCGGACCUCACGCUAUCAGAUGAGCCUAGGUCGGAUUAGCUAGUUGGUGGGGUAAAGGCCUACCAAGGCGACGAUCCGUAACUGGUCUGAGAGGAUGAUCAGUCACACUGGAACUGAGACACUGUCCUGACUCCUACGGGAGGCAGAAGUGGGGAAUAUUGGAAAAUGGGCGAAAGCCUGAUCCAGCCAUGCCGCGUGUGUGAAGAAGGUCUUCGGAUUGUAAAGCACUUUAAGUUGGGAGGAAGGGCAGUAAGCUAAUACCUUGCUGUUUUGACGUUACCAACAGAAUAAGCACCGGCUAACUUCGUG